This 1076-nucleotide small RNA is filed under the name Pan troglodytes (chimpanzee). Its description in RNAcentral is "processed transcript". The record is from RNAcentral. Lineage: Eukaryota; Metazoa; Chordata; Mammalia; Primates; Hominidae.
AGCCGGAACACAGACAGGAGAGAGUCAGUGGCAAAUAGACAUUUUUCUUAUUUCUUAAAAAACAGCAACUUGUUUGCUACUUUUAUUUCUGUUGAUUUUUUUUUUUCUUGGUGGUGUGGGGACCCCUGGCCAAGAGGGCUGAGGUCUGACCCUGCUUUAAAGGGUUGUUUGACUAGGUUUUGCUACCCUACUUCCCCUUAUUUUGACCCAUCACAGGUUUUUGACCCUGGAUGUCAGAGUUGAUCUAAGACGUUUUCUACAAUAGGUUGGGAGAUGCUGAUCCCUUCAAGUGGGGACAGCAAAAAGACAAGCAAAACUGAUGUGCACUUUAUGGCUUGGGACUGAUUUGGGGGACAUUGUACAGUGAGUGAAGUAUAGCCUUUAUGCCACACUCUGUGGCCCUAAAAUGGUGAAUCAGAGCAUAUCUAGUUGUCUCAACCCUUGAAGCAAUAUGUAUUAUAAACUCAGAGAACAGAAGUGCAAUGUGAUGGGAGGGACAUAGCAAUAUCUGCUCCUUUUCGAGUUGUUUGAGAAAUGUAGGCUAUUUUUUCAGUGUAUAUCCACUCAGAUUUUGUGUAUUUUUGAUGUACACUGUUCUCUAAAUUCUGAAUCUUUGGGAAAAAAUGUAAAGCGUUUAUGAUCUCAGAGGUUAACUUAUUUAAGGGGGAUGUACAUAUAUUCUCUGAAACUAGGAUGCAUGCAAUUGUGUUGGAAGUGUCCUUGGUGCCUUGUGUGAUGUAGACAAUGUUACAGGGUCUGCAUGUAAAUGGGUUGCCUUAUUAUGGAAAAAAAAAUCACUCCCUGAGUUUAGUAUGGCUGUAUAUUUCUGCCUAUUAAUAUUUGGAAUUUUUUUUAGAAAGUAUAUUUUUGUAUGCUUUGUUUUGUGACUUAAAAGUGUUACCUUUGUAGUCAAAUUUCAGAUAAGAAUGUACAUAAUGUUACCGGAGCUGAUUUGUUUGGUCAUUAGCUCUUAAUAGUUGUGAAAAAAUAAAUCUAUUCUAACGCAAAACCACUAACUGAAGUUCAGAUAAUGGAUGGUUUGUGACUAUAGUGUAAAUAAAUACUUUUCAACAAUA